This 468-nucleotide ribosomal RNA is filed under the name uncultured bacterium. RNAcentral describes it as "partial 16S ribosomal RNA". It matches the Rfam family "Bacterial small subunit ribosomal RNA", at positions 28 to 507 of the family's 1533-position model. The record is from RNAcentral.
GACGAACGCUGGCGGCGUGCUUAACACAUGCAAGUCGAACGGAAAGGCCCUGCUUUUGUGGGGUGCUCGAGUGGCGAACGGGUGAGUAACACGUGAGUAACCUGCCCUUGACUUUGGGAUAACUUCAGGAAACUGGGGCUAAUACCGGAUAGGAGCUCCUGCUGCAUGGUGGGGGUUGGAAAGUUUCGGCGGUUGGGGCUGGACUCGCGGCUUAUCAGCUUGUUGGUGGGGUAGUGGCUUACCAAGGCUUUGACGGGUAGCCGGCCUGAGAGGGUGACCGGCCACAUUGGGACUGAGAUACGGCCCAGACUCCUACGGGAGGCAGCAGUGGGGAAUAUUGCACAAUGGGCGGAAGCCUGAUGCAGCAACGCCGCGUUCGUGAUGACGGCCUUCGGGUUGUAAACCGCUUUCGCCUGUGACGAAGCGUGAGUGACGGUAAUGGGUAAAGAAGCACCGGCUAACUACGUG